AAACUUGCGAACCUGUCUAAAUGCAGUGGGGAUUGCGUGGGUUGGGGCCUUGUUCUCUUUCCUUCCGCUUUCCCCUCGCGAGUAGAUGUGCGCGGAGCUUUUUGGCAACGUGUUCAUUUACUUGUCGAACAACGAACCCCGGCGCAAAACGCGCCAAGGAUAAUUGAACAAAGUUUGUCCACGUCCCCUGCCCGUUUUCGGGUGGCGUUGGCGUGCACAUCUUUCGAAUAACUAAACGACUCUCGGCAACGGAUAUCUCGGCUCUUGCAUCGAUGAAGAACGUAGCGAAAUGCGAUACUUGGUGUGAAUUGCAGAAUCCCGUGAACCAUCGAGUCUUUGAACGCAAGUUGCGCCUGAAGCCAUUAGGUUGAAGGCACGUCUGCCUGGGCGUCACGCAUUGCGUCAUCCACUCACCCCGUGCCUCAUCGGCAGGUAAGUGCGUGGGCGGAUAUUGGCCCCCCGUUCACAUUCGUGCUCGGCCGGCCUAAAAAUGACGGUCCCCGAUGACGGACAUCACGGCAAGUGGUGGUUGCCAAACCGUCGCGUCGUGUCGUGCAUGCCAUUCUUUGUCGCGGGCUGGCUCAU
This 585-nucleotide ribosomal RNA is filed under the name Rhododendron uwaense. RNAcentral's name for it is "eukaryotic LSU rRNA". The stretch from base 238 to 393 matches the Rfam family "5.8S ribosomal RNA". Lineage: Eukaryota; Viridiplantae; Streptophyta; Magnoliopsida; Ericales; Ericaceae. The record is from RNAcentral.